This 475-nucleotide ribosomal RNA is filed under the name Perissopus dentatus. Its description in RNAcentral is "partial 16S ribosomal RNA". The stretch from base 162 to 475 matches the Rfam family "Bacterial large subunit ribosomal RNA", at positions 2046 to 2641 of the family's 2925-position model. The record is from RNAcentral. Lineage: Eukaryota; Metazoa; Arthropoda; Copepoda; Siphonostomatoida; Pandaridae.
UCGCCUGUUUAAACAAAAACAUAGCUAAACAAUGUUUAGUGUAUCUGCCCUAUGACAAACGUUAAAUGGCCGUAAGGUAGCAUAAUAAUUAGCUCUUUAAUUGAGAACCUGGAUGAAGACAGCAUUUUCUAGACAUAUUUAAGUUAAUUAUCUGAAAUUAGAAACUCAGUGAAAAUCCUUAGAUUCCUCUCGCAGACGAUAAGACCCUAGAACCUUUACUAAGUUUUACUGGGAUAGUAAAUUUUUAAAAAUAAAAUGACUGCAAUUUUCUUGAACCGUAUUUACGCUUUAAAAAAAAGGUACUCUAGGGAUAACAGCGCCACACUUCUCUGAAGCCCCCAUUUAAAGAAGAAAAGCGACCUCGAUGUUGAAUUAAGUAAUCUAAAGCCGCAGCAGGCCAAUAGAUAAGGUCUGUUCGACCUAACCACUUACAUGAUUUGAGUUAAGAUCGACGUAAGCCAGGUUGGGUUUCUAU